GAUGAACGCUAGCGGCAGGCCUAACACAUGCAAGUCGAGGGGUAACUAGAGUGAUAGCAAUAUUACUUUGGCUAGACCGGCGCACGGGUGCGCAACCCGUAUGCAACCUACCUUAUACUGGGGAAUAACUUCGAGAAAUCGGCGCUAAUACCCCAUAACACUGCGGAGAGGCAUCUCUUUGCAGUUAAAGCUCCGGCGGUAUAAGAUGGGCAUGCGUCCAAUUAGCUAGUUGGUGAGGUAACGGCUCACCAAGGCUACGAUUGGUAGGGGUUCUGAGAGGAUGAUCCCCCACACUGGUACUGAGACACGGACCAGACUCCUACGGGAGGCAGCAGUGAGGAAUAUUGCGCAAUGGACGAAAGUCUGACGCAGCCAUGCCGCGUGCAGGAUGACGGCCCUAUGGGUUGUAAACUGCUUUUGUACGGGAAUAAACCCUUCUACGUGUAGGAGGCUGAAGGUACCGUAAGAAUAAGCACCGGCUAACUCCGUGCCAGCAGCCGCGGUAA
This 506-nucleotide ribosomal RNA is filed under the name uncultured bacterium. Its description in RNAcentral is "partial 16S ribosomal RNA". It matches the Rfam family "Bacterial small subunit ribosomal RNA", at positions 28 to 523 of the family's 1533-position model. The record is from RNAcentral.